UAUUAUAUUUUAAUAUUUUACCAACAAUCUGUUUCUUUUGAUCCAGUUUGCGCAUCGGCAAUGCCAUCGAUUUAUUUCCCGCAUAAGUUAGGUUGUUUUUGUUCUCUUAUCAUUCCUUGUGCAUACUUGUUACUCGCCGAUAAGGUGCGUUUUUAGAAUUUUAUGCGGCAGCUAAUAAGGCCGGUAUACAUAGCGCUGCCUUUGUGCUUUCAACAGCGGAGAACGUAAUUGCCGUAUUAUGUCCCUUCCGGACUAAAUUUAAUCAAUCUUGACGAAACGGAGUAACGCGUCAUGGUUGUUCUGUUAUUGACACGCAGAGCGAUCGACCGAAACCCAUAUUUCAAAUAAAGCACUCCAGUGUUUGUUAUCGAAAAACCACGGUUUUUUGUUCGUCUUGUAUCGUGUCAGCUGAACGAACAAUGCCUACUGACGAAUUACUCCAAUUGAAAUCAAUGACAUGUUUCAUAUUUAUCAUAUUGUGUGCUCAUGAAUUGGAAAUAAGGUUGUCCGACGAAAAGAAUACCUAGUAGCGUUCUAUAUUUAGCUAAAUCGAAAUCGUAGAAAUCAUUGUUAUUACAACUGGCCGCAAUUCUUUUUUCUUUGUUUGUAGUGGCUCGUCUUAUCUUAUUCGAUAAUUAUUGAAUUCGAUAGAAGUGUACUUUGACUUCUUUACUCGAAACUAUUUUUCGUACGGGUUUUACGUAAAACCUAUUCGAAAUGUUUUCACGAAAUAUACGGCGUGAUAAAUGAAAUGAAAUAGCGCAGUUUUAUUUUCCCUCAAGGACAGACGUUUAUAUUAACAAAUAUGAAAUGUUCUGAUGAUGCAUAGUGUAUAAGCAGCGUGUGUCAGCUACUCAUAGGUAAUACGUGUCAUUCCAGCGAAUGCAAUUAAAUCCAAAGUAAGAUUACAGACUAAAGUAUUUGAGUGGAUGACAAUAAAAGAAUACAUAUGUAUUAUAUUAGUCAGUUAAGUUGAUAAACUAUAU
Long non-coding RNA from Bombus impatiens (common eastern bumble bee), 986 nucleotides. RefSeq lists it as uncharacterized. The record is from RefSeq and is a predicted model, not a curated record. The transcript has 2 exons. NCBI's taxonomy places the organism in Eukaryota, Metazoa, Arthropoda, Insecta, Hymenoptera, Apidae.